Molecule: long non-coding RNA, 209 nt
Organism: Vidua macroura (Pin-tailed whydah)
Lineage: Eukaryota; Metazoa; Chordata; Aves; Passeriformes; Viduidae
Exons: 3
Source: RefSeq, a predicted model, not a curated record
UCCAUAUCCCAAGGUUUCCUGAUGCUUUUCCAAGGUUUUAUGGACAAUAUUCCAAGAUUUUCUGACAUUCCGUAAAUUCCUGUCGAUAUCCCGAGGUUUCCUGAUGCUGUUCCAAGGUUUUAUGGAAAAUAUUCCAAGGUUUUUCUGAGGAUAUUCCUUAAAUUCCUGUCGAUAUUCCAAGGGUUUCCUGUGCUUUUUCCAAGGUUUUA